Molecule: long non-coding RNA, 581 nt
Filed under: Brassica napus (rape)
Lineage: Eukaryota; Viridiplantae; Streptophyta; Magnoliopsida; Brassicales; Brassicaceae
Description: long non-coding RNA (BNAP_LNC009041)
Source: RNAcentral
AUCACAGAUCUUCGAAAUUAGACAAUGAUUUUCGCUAAACAAAAAAAUCAGAUCUGAAUCGAGAGACUUACUUCUUCAGCAGCGUGGAAGACGGCGGCCAUGUAAACCGGGAGCGAGCCUUUGAGCCUUUCUUCAGGAAACGAGUGAUUGAGCUUUGAUCGAUUUCGAAACUGGUUUGGUCUAUGGGCCACAGGCUGUUUCUUCUUCCAAAACCAUUCUUCACUUUUGCCGGUGGUUUAUCCAUUGCACAGAAACGGGAUUGAACAGAGAGAGAGAGUUUUAGUGGAAGGAGGUUGGAGGUUUGUAUUUUGACAUUAACGGUCUUCUUCGGACAUGGUUAUAAUUGGAGAAGAAAGGAGGGAUAAUGGUUUGGUUUGUUGUCUGAUUAUAAGUGUUUCUGAGUUUGGUUUGUUGUCUGAUUAUAGUGUAGUGUUUUUGAGUUUGUGUGUUGUGUAUUUAUAGAGAAGCCUUCGUAACGGCUAUAUUUGUCUUAAAGGUUUGAGUCUGGUCUCGAUCGCCACAAAACGCGUGCGUUUCUCCUAACGGUAAUAAUGUUGGAACCGAACCGGUCUUGCAACCAC